AGAGUUUGAUCCUGGCUCAGAAUCAACGCUGGCGGCGUGCCUAACACAUGCAAGUCGAACGCGAAAGGGGAGCAAUCCCUGAUUAGAGUGGCAAACGGGUGAGUAACACGUGGGUGACCUGCCUUCGAGUGGGGGAUAACCUUCCGAAAGGAGGGCUAAUACCGCAUGACAUACCGUGUUUGGAUACACGGAUAUCAAAGCCGGGGAUCGCAAGACCUGGCGCUUGAAGAGGGGCCCGCGUCCGAUUAGCUAGUUGGUGAGGUAACGGCUCACCAAGGCUCCGAUCGGUAUCCGGCCUGAGAGGGCGGACGGACACACUGGAACUGAGACACGGUCCAGACUCCUACGGGAGGCAGCAGUGGGGAAUUGUUCGCAAUGGGCGAAAGCCUGACGACGCAACGCCGCGUGGAGGAUGAAGAAUUUCGGUUCGUAAACUCCUUUCGACCAAGAUGAAUACCCAUCGACCCAACACGUCGGUGGACUGACAGUAUUGAGAGAAGAAGCCCCGGCUAACUCUGUGCCAGCAGCCGCGGUAAUACAGGGGGGGCAAGCGUUGUUCGGAAUUACUGGGCGUAAAGGGUUCGUAGGUGGCCAAUUAAGUCAGACGUGAAAUCCCUCAGCUUAACUGGGGAACUGCGUCUGAUACUGGUUGGCUUGAGUGCAGGAGAGGAAUGCGGAAUUCCAGGUGUAGCGGUGAAAUGCGUAGAUAUCUGGAGGAACACCGGUGGCGAAGGCGGCAUUCUGGACUGUAACUGACACUGAGGAACGAAAGCCAGGGGAGCAAACGGGAUUAGAUACCCCGGUAGUCCUGGCCCUAAACGAUGAAUGCUUGGUGUAGCGGGUAUCGAUCCCUGCUGUGCCGAAGUU
This 867-nucleotide ribosomal RNA is filed under the name metagenome. RNAcentral's name for it is "bacterial SSU rRNA". It matches the Rfam family "Bacterial small subunit ribosomal RNA", at positions 8 to 853 of the family's 1533-position model. The record is from RNAcentral.